Lepisosteus oculatus (spotted gar) is the source of this 248-nucleotide non-coding RNA. Lineage: Eukaryota; Metazoa; Chordata; Actinopteri; Semionotiformes; Lepisosteidae. The record is from RefSeq and is a predicted model, not a curated record.
GCAGCACCCACCGGCGUGAUGUCUGUCUUUACGUACCAACAACCCUGCAGAGCAGCCGCAGAUCUCUAGUGCUUCGCGCAGAAUUGGGCCAGUGCUUGAAGUCGGCAAUGAGAGAGGACAGUUCGGGGUAUAAAGAAAUUAUUUCUUUGGGGUCAAGAUUGCCUUUGCUGUAAAGAGAACAAAACAAUAACUGGCAUCAAGUUGUUCUUCAACUGGAACUGGAGUCAAGCUGUAGACUGUGUUUUCAG